AUGUUAGUGGUAAUAACAAGAGUGGUAAUAACAAAAACAAUAACUACCAUUUUAGUGGUAAUAACAAUAACUUCUAUGUUAGUAGUAAUAACAAUAACUACUAUGUUAGUAGUAAUAACAAUAACUACCAUGUUAGUGUUAAUAACAAUAACAAUAACUACAAUGUUAGUGGUAAUAACAAUAGCUACCAUGUUAGUGAUAAUAACAAUAACAAUAACUACAAUGUUAGUGGUAAUAACAAUAACUACCAUGUUAGUGGUAAUAACAAUAACUACUAUGUUAGUAGUAAUAACAAUAGCUACCAUGUUAGUGGUAAUAACAAUAGUGGUCAUAACAAAAACAAUAACUUCCAUGUUAGUGGUAAUAACAAUAAAUAUCAUGUUAGUGGUAAUAACAAAAACAAUAACUGCCAAGUUAGUGGUAAUAACAAUAACUACCAUGUUAGUGGUAAUAACAGAAACAAUAACUACCAUGUUAGUGGUAAUAACAAUAACUAUCAUGUUAGUGGUAAUAACAAAAACAAUAACUACCAUGUUAGUGGUAAUAACAAUAACUACUAUGUUAGUAGUAAUAAUAAUAGCUACCAUGUUAGUGAUAAUAACAAUAACAAUAACUACCAUGUUAGUGGUAAUAACAAUAACUACUAUGUUAGUAGUAAUAAUAAUAGCUACCAUGUUAGUGAUAAUAACAAUAACUACCAUGUUAGUGGUAAUAACAAUAACUACCAUGUUAGUGAUAAUUACAAUAACAACAACUACCAUGUUAGUGGAAAUAACAAUAUCUACUAUGUUAGUAGUAAUAACAAUAGCUACCAUGUUAGUGAUAAUAACAAUAACUACCAUGUUAGUGGUAAUUACAAUAACUACCAUGUUAGUGAUAAUUACAAUAACAACAACUACCAUGUUAGUGGAAAUAACAAUAUCUACUAUGUUAGUAGUAAUAACAAUAGCUACCAUGUUAGUGAUAAUAACAAUAACUACCAUGUUAGUGGUAAAAACAAUAACUACCAAGUUAGUGGUAAUUACAAUUACUACUAUGUUAGUGGUAAUAACAAUAGUUCACUGUUCUAAAAAUGAACUAGUUCUUAGUUCUUUUAUGUAUGUACACACACACACACACACACACACACACACACACACACACACACACACACACACACACAUAUAUAUAUUCUCACUAACAUGA
Long non-coding RNA from Nothobranchius furzeri (turquoise killifish), 1185 nucleotides. Lineage: Eukaryota; Metazoa; Chordata; Actinopteri; Cyprinodontiformes; Nothobranchiidae. The record is from Ensembl.